AGAGGAUGAUCCGCCACACUGGGACUGAGACACGGCCCAGACUCCUACGGGAGGCAGCAGUGGGGAAUAUUGGACAAUGGGGGGAACCCUGAUCCAGCCAUGCCGCGUGUGUGAAGAAGGCCUUUUGGUUGUAAAGCACUUUAAGCGAGGAGGAGGCUACCUAGAUUAAUACUUUAGGAUAGUGGACGUUACUCGCAGAAUAAGCACCGGCUAACUCUGUGCCAGCAGCCGCGGUAAUACAGAGGGUGCGAGCGUUAAUCGGAUUUACUGGGCGUAAAGCGUGCGUAGGCGGCCAAUUAAGUCAAAUGUGAAAUCCCCGAGCUUAACUUGGGAAUUGCAUUCGAUACUGGUUGGCUAGAGUAUGGGAGAGGAUGGUAGAAUUCCAGGUGUAGCGGUGAAAUGCGUAGAGAUCUGGAGGAAUACCGAUGGCGAAGGCAGCCAUCUGGCCUAAUACUGACGCUGAGGUACGAAAGCAUGGGGAGCAAACAGGAUUAGAUACCCUGGUAGUCCAUGCCGUAAACGAUGUCUACUAGCCGUUGGGGCCCUUGAGGCUUUAGUGGCGCAGCUAACGCGAUAAGUAGACCGCCUGGGGAGUACGGUCGCAAGACUAAAACUCAAAUGAAUUGACGGGGGCCCGCACAAGCGGUGGAGCAUGUGGUUUAAUUCGAUGCAACGCGAAGAACCUUACCUGGCCUUGACA
Molecule: ribosomal RNA, 700 nt
Filed under: Acinetobacter radioresistens
Lineage: Bacteria; Pseudomonadati; Pseudomonadota; Gammaproteobacteria; Moraxellales; Moraxellaceae
Description: bacterial SSU rRNA
Rfam family: Bacterial small subunit ribosomal RNA
Source: RNAcentral